GCGAGCAUCUGCCAGGAUGUUUUCAUUAAUCAAGAACGAAAGUUAGGGGAUCGAAGACGAUCAGAUACCGUCGUAGUCUUAACCAUAAACGAUGCCGACCAGCGAUUAGGAGACGUUGAAUACAAAACACCACCAUCGGUGCGGUCGUCCUUGGCGUCGGUCUUUCGGGGCCGGCGCGGGGACGGCUUAGCCCGGUGGCACCGGUGAAUGACUCCCCU
RNAcentral lists this ribosomal RNA (218 nucleotides) under Acanthamoeba genotype T4. RNAcentral's name for it is "partial 18S ribosomal RNA". It matches the Rfam family "Eukaryotic small subunit ribosomal RNA", at positions 945 to 1081 of the family's 1831-position model. Lineage: Eukaryota; Discosea; Longamoebia; Acanthamoebidae. The record is from RNAcentral.